Gastrolobium bilobum is the source of this 118-nucleotide small nucleolar RNA. NCBI's taxonomy places the organism in Eukaryota, Viridiplantae, Streptophyta, Magnoliopsida, Fabales, Fabaceae. The record is from RefSeq and is a predicted model, not a curated record.
AUCCCAGCUAAACGGUUAUUGUUUAUCUGAUUCAUGGGAGGCAGAAAUUUUACAUGGUAAUUCGCUGAUAGUGCCUUUUCUCUUUAGAAGGUUGCUAAUAGUAUGUUAUCAGACAUAG